This is a ribosomal RNA of 525 nucleotides. The stretch from base 138 to 291 matches the Rfam family "5.8S ribosomal RNA".
CACUCAUCACCCUGUGACAUACCUAAACGUUGCUUCGGCGGGAAUAGACGGCCCCGUAAAACGGGCCGCCCCCGCCAGAGGACCCUUAACUCUGUUUCUAUAAUGUUUCUUCUGAGUAAAACAAGCAAAUAAAUUAAAACUUUCAACAACGGAUCUCUUGGCUCUGGCAUCGAUGAAGAACGCAGCGAAAUGCGAUAAGUAAUGUGAAUUGCAGAAUUCAGUGAAUCAUCGAAUCUUUGAACGCACAUUGCGCCCGCCAGUAUUCUGGCGGGCAUGCCUGUUCGAGCGUCAUUACAACCCUCAGGCCCCCGGGCCUGGCGUUGGGGAUCGGCGGAGCCCCCCGUGGGCACACGCCGUCCCCCAAAUACAGUGGCGGUCCCGCCGCAGCUUCCAUCGCGUAGUAGCUAACACCUCGCGACUGGAGAGCGGCGCGGCCACGCCGUAAAACACCCAACUCUUCUGAAGUUGACCUCGAAUCAGGUAGGAAUACCCGCUGAACUUAAGCAUAUCAAUAAGGCGGAGGAA